Non-coding RNA from Panus rudis PR-1116 ss-1, 105 nucleotides. The record is from the annotation of a GenBank genome assembly. NCBI's taxonomy places the organism in Eukaryota, Fungi, Basidiomycota, Agaricomycetes, Polyporales, Panaceae.
GCUUCCAUGGCUCAGUUGGUUAGAGCGCAGGUCUCAUACGGUUCUGUAUGACAUCUCAUUCGAGAUGCAAUCCUGAGGUCGUGAGUUCGACCCUCACUGGGAGCA